RNAcentral lists this ribosomal RNA (470 nucleotides) under uncultured bacterium. Its description in RNAcentral is "bacterial SSU rRNA". It matches the Rfam family "Bacterial small subunit ribosomal RNA", at positions 20 to 507 of the family's 1533-position model. The record is from RNAcentral.
UGGCUCAGGACGAACGCUGGCGGCGUGCUUAAUACAUGCAAGUCGAACGGUAAGGCCCUUCGGGGUACACGAGUGGCGAACGGGUGAGUAACACGUGGGUGAUCUGCCCUGCACUUCGGGAUAAGCCUGGGAAACUGGGUCUAAUACCGGAUAGGACCAUGGACUUCACGGUUUGUGGUGGAAAGCUUUUGCGGUGUGGGAUGGGCCCGCGGCCUAUCAGCUUGUUGGUGGGGUAAUGGCCUACCAAGGCGACGACGGGUAGCCGGCCUGAGAGGGUGUCCGGCCACACUGGGACUGAGAUACGGCCCAGACUCCUACGGGAGGCAGCAGUGGGGAAUAUUGCACAAUGGGCGCAAGCCUGAUGCAGCGACGCCGCGUGAGGGAUGACGGCCUUCGGGUUGUAAACCUCUUUCAAUAGGGACGAAGCGCAAGUGACGGUACCUAUAGAAGAAGCACCGGCCAACUACGUG